Molecule: ribosomal RNA, 484 nt
Filed under: uncultured bacterium
Lineage: Bacteria
Description: partial 16S ribosomal RNA
Rfam family: Bacterial small subunit ribosomal RNA
Source: RNAcentral
AUUGAACGCUGGCGGCAGGCCUAACACAUGCAAGUCGAGCGGAUGAAGGGAGCUUGCUCCUGGAUUCAGCGGCGGACGGGUGAGUAAUGCCUAGGAAUCUGCCUGGUAGUGGGGGAUAACGUCAGGAAACGGGCGCUAAUCCCGCAUACGUCCUGAGGGAGAAAGUGGGGGAUCUUCGGACCUCGCGCUAUCAGAUGAGCCUAGGUCGGAUUAGCUAGUUGGUGGGGUAAAGGCCUACCAAGGCGACGAUCCGUAACUGGUCUGAGAGGAUGAUCAGUCACACUGGAACUGAGACACGGUCCAGACUCCUACGGGAGGCAGCAGUGGGGAAUAUUGGACAAUGGGCGAAAGCCUGAUCCAGCCAUGCCGCGUGUGUGAAGAAGGUCUUCGGAUUGUAAAGCACUUUAAGUUGGGAGGAAGGGCAGUAAGUUAAUACCUUGCUGUUUUGACGUUACCAACAGAAUAAGCACCGGCUAACUUCGUG